UCAUGAACUUGAGAGCUUAGACAGGAACCUUGACCUUUAGGCAAUGAUGUCUCCUCUGAGAAAUACCAAUAAACACCACUUAAUUUAAACUCAAGCCCAACCUAGAAGCCAUCAAAUCAUGCCUCACACACCUGAAUUUCAAGGACUUCCCACUAAGUCUCUCUGAAUGCCUAAUUAAUCUAUCUUUCAUUCCCUUCAUCUGGAGACCUAUUCUGAAAUCAUGGGAAAAAUCCCCAUCAGCUGAAGGCCGAUUCCCAAGAAAAAAUGAUCUUUUACUGGUUUCCCUUUCCCUUGUUACUAUGGAACAAACAUUGGAAUCCAAAACAUCCUCUGUCUGAUCUUCAACUGCCUGCAAUUCUCUCUGAUCUAAGAACUGCACUUCUCCCUGAUCACACACAGACUCCUCAGUUUGCUCAGUUUGAAACCCAUCAUCCCCCUUGUCCUCUGACAAAUCCCUUGCCUCUUACUGAGCCCUGACAUAAACCACAUUACCCGCUUUGAACUGGAUUAUCUGAGUCUACACUACCAUAUAAUCCAAUUCAAAGCAGAUAACCUGGAUUUUAUACAGCUGUGUAGAAGGGGCCUGAGACUGCCUCUGAAAACUCCCACCCCACAAACUUUUACUGGAGAUAAAUGUCUGGCACGGAGUCAAACUGCAAUGCCUUUUGGCCCUAAUUGCAUCCACAUGCUUUCAUUCUCAAAGAACUUCAAAUGUAUGGUGAAACAGGAUCGACCUUUGCAUGAGCCACACCAAUUCUCCUCAGCAAGAUUUCCAGAUUGUGCUUGGAAAGAUCAACACCCAUUGAAGAAAGUGCUGGGAAAUCUCAAGCAGAAAGAUAAAUUCACAAGGUAGAAGCUGUAACAGUACUCACGUGCUAGUAGAAUUUCCAUGCUUGCAUUGGACGGACCAUUCAGCCUGUGCCUCCUGACUGAAAGCAGGCAAAGCUAGAACACUGACUCACAAAGAGAUGAAAUGAAUGGAAUAUAUGUGGGUUUUGUAAGACAUUCUUAAUUUUUCAAAGGAAAAGAAGUCAAUCAUAAUAUCUAUAGUUUAAAUUGCUAUUUAUAUUUUUAAGAAGCUUGCUUCAAUCACUGGCCCUUUUUGGGAGUGUUCAUCUGUGUACCUCUUAAAUAAAGUUAGCUGCUGGCAAAACAAUCUGCCCUACCACUUUGUAAGAAAUAUGGAAGUUUGGUAUAUAUUCCACUGCUGUUCACUAUAAUGAUGCCCCCAAGUGAAUGGUAAAAGAUACAGUUGCUGUUGUUAUCCUUUUUAAUACCUCCAACUUAAAUAAAUGUUUUUCAGAACAUUUGGAGGUGGAAGAGAUGGAGAUCACUCUAGUUCUCUCCUUUUUUUUUUUUUUUUUUGCUUUGCCUUAAAAGCACAGAGGAAACAAAGCAGCUCAAUCUGAGGUGGACGAAACAUCUGAGAAAUGGGCACUAGAAAUUCAGGACAGCCCUAACGUUGUUUAUUUUUGUUCAAGUACUUAUGGAAACCACAGAUGUCAAGCAGCAGCAUCCCUCUUUUUCCCUUCAACACAGAAAUGAUGAGUGCUUCUGCAAAAAAAUAAAAAAAAAAAAUAAAUACCAAGGAAAUAUACAUUCUAUAGCAAAAUCUCUGAUUUCACCCAUACACAACUUAGUGCACAUUUAAUUGAUUAACUGGCGAAAACUCGUGUGAUCAAUCAACAUGCUAUUAGGGUCCCUGGACUUUUUGUUCCUGCUGAAAAUAUUCCCACGUCCUGAAGAAACGAGUCUCAAUUAAAAAGAUUUUCAACAAUGUUUCUCGAAGAAGCCUUUGACUAAUGAUUAAUUUCUCUUGGGCUCAUCAGCAGCUCUUUCACAAACCUCUAGCAUGUCAUGAAACACUUUUGGGUAACUUCUGGUACAGUUGCUCUGAAGUACAAACUUCUAGAUGUUCAGAAUUAAGAACAAUCAG
Molecule: long non-coding RNA, 1936 nt
Organism: Anolis carolinensis (green anole)
Lineage: Eukaryota; Metazoa; Chordata; Lepidosauria; Squamata; Anolidae
Exons: 3
Source: RefSeq, a predicted model, not a curated record